GUCUCGGAGGCAGAUUGACCGGACUGAAGAAUAGACACAUGGCACUUUGUGAUUGGCUAGCAGGUACUUAAAAGGUGAUCUCCCUGGCUGGUCAGUGCCCACUGUUGUUUUGACAACCUGGGUGUAUGUUGUGGUUCAUAUUCUCCCAGACUUUCCUGUGCAU
Long non-coding RNA from Bufo bufo (common toad), 163 nucleotides. RefSeq lists it as uncharacterized. The record is from RefSeq and is a predicted model, not a curated record. Lineage: Eukaryota; Metazoa; Chordata; Amphibia; Anura; Bufonidae. The transcript is spliced from 3 exons.